ACUCAAAUGAAUAGACGGGGGCUCACACCAGCGGUGGAGCAUGUGGCUUAAUUCGAGGCUACGCGAAGAACCUUAUCCCAGACUUGACAUGUGCGGAUUAGCCGCUGGAAACAGCGGUGACGCCCGCAAGGGUGGAACGCACACAGGUGCUGCAUGGCUGUCGUCAGCUCGUGUUGUGAGAUGUUGGGUUAAGUCCCUUAACGAGCGAAACCCUUGUCCUUAGUUACCAGCGGGUCAAGCCGGGCACUCUAAGGAGACUGCCGGUGUCAAGCCGGAGGAAGGCGGGGAUGACGUCAAGUCCUCAUGGCCCUUAUGUCUGGGGCUGCACACGUGCUACAAUGGGGGGUACAAAGGGAAGCUAGCCGGCAACGGCACGCCAAUCCCAAAAAGCCCCCCCCAGUUCGGAUCGCGGGCUGCAACCCGCCCGCGUGAAGUUGGAAUCGCUAGUAAUCGCGGGUCAGCCAUACCGCGGUGAAUGUGUUCCUGAGCCUUGUACACACCGCCCGU
RNAcentral lists this ribosomal RNA (507 nucleotides) under uncultured bacterium. RNAcentral's name for it is "partial 16S ribosomal RNA". It matches the Rfam family "Bacterial small subunit ribosomal RNA", at positions 899 to 1397 of the family's 1533-position model. The record is from RNAcentral.